AUAAUACUUCAGCAUCCAAAGACAGCAGGUGGCAUUUUGCCGUAAGUUUUAUCGCCUGCCGAGGUUAGCGUGAAAGUAAAAUUUAUAUUUUAUGCUCAUGUCUGUCCGUUCUUUGGCGGACUUUUUUAUUUUU
This 133-nucleotide small RNA is filed under the name bovine gut metagenome. RNAcentral describes it as "Ribosomal protein L10 leader". The stretch from base 16 to 133 matches the Rfam family "Ribosomal protein L10 leader", at positions 19 to 135 of the family's 138-position model. Rfam says of the family: This family is a putative r-protein leader autoregulatory structure found in B. subtilis and other low-GC Gram-positive bacteria. The record is from RNAcentral.